CAGCAGCCGCGGUAAUACAGAGGAUACAAGCGUUAUCCGGAAUGAUUGGGCGUAAAGCGUCUGUAGGUGGCUUUUCAAGUCCGCCGUCGAAUCCCAGGGCUCAACCCUGGACAGGCGGUGGAAACUACCAAGCUGGAGUACGGUAGGGGCAGAGGGAAUUUCCAGUGGAGCGGUGAAAUGCGUUGAGAUCGAAAAGAACACCAACAGCGAAAGCACUCUGCUGGGACGACACUGACACUAAGAGACGAAAGCUAGGGGAGCAAAUGGGAUUAGAUACCCCCGUAGUCCCUGUCUCUUAUAC
Molecule: ribosomal RNA, 301 nt
Filed under: uncultured bacterium
Lineage: Bacteria
Description: partial 16S ribosomal RNA
Rfam family: Bacterial small subunit ribosomal RNA
Source: RNAcentral